CUUUUUAUCAAUAUACUAUUAGACUACUGUAAAUAAAAGCAAAUUUAAUAUCACACAUAUGACAUAUUGAGGACUUACAGUCAAAAAUAAUUUCCCCCUUGAAACAAAGGGUUAGUAGCUUGAUAGGUGAUCAAAACAUUUUUUAUGAUAAAACAUUGCAUUCUUAUACUGUCAGCAGUUCUAUCAAUUUCAAACUUUGAAAAGAAGCAUCUUCAAUGAUAUAAAAAAAUCUUCAAAAAAGGUUAAAAAAAAUUGAAUAAUGGUGAGCGAUUAGCACAAAGGGGAAAAAAAUCCAUUUUGAAUUGAUUGGCUACAAGAUAUAUAAAUGCAAGGACCCUUUUAUAAAAUUAACUUAUUUCUAAAGAAUAAUUAUAAAUAAAAAUUAAUAUAAAAAAAAAAAAAAAUAGUAAAUGGUAUUUUUUUUUUUUAAUGUUAUAUAUAAUUUCUCCUGAUUACCAUACCACCUCAUAACCUUAUUUACAUCAAGCAUACACAAUUACUUUUGAUUAUAAUCCAAUGCAUGGCACAAUUAUCUCCCUUGCGCCUUCUAUAUUUAAUAUUUAUAUGGUUGUAACACCACUAAUUAGGGCCUGGCCAGAAAGUAGUACAUAUUUAACACAAAAUUGUUUCUAAGCAUGAGUGUAACUUUCAAAAUAUGUAGAAGAUUUAGGUAUUUUUGGUAUCAAAUGAAAGCUAAAGGACUGGUGGUCAUUGUAGAAUGCUUCUUGACUUAUAAUUUUAAAUAUUUAAAAAACUACAUCUAAUUUUUAAAAAAGGGUACAUUUUGUCUGUUUUACAGAUCUGAAGUACCUGUUUUGGUACAUCUGAAGUUCUGGGAAACAGUUCUUUCUUAUAUAUGCCAUUAAAGUUAUGUUGAUUUUUUCAUUACAAGACACCAUAAGGUGUUGCUUUGACAUACAAUGAUUGUCGCUUUAUUUGAACUUAAAACAAAAGAGGUGUGCCUGCUUAAAAUGGAGGAAUUUAACAUAGAAAGCAAAGGGGCCAUGAAUUAGUGGUGUACUUCCUUAUAAUCCAAUGUAUGGAUCAAUUACCUCCCUUGCGUCUUUUAUAUUUAAUAUUUAUAUUGUUUUCUAUUCAAAACCAUUUGAACACAUACAUUCACAUCUAUAUAUUUGUAAAAUGCCACUGUCAAUAUAUGGUAAUAAAAUAUGAAAUAUACAAAUUUAAAUUAACCAAAAUAAAAAUAUUCAUUCAGUGUUUAACAGUAGUUUUCAACAAUAAACGAAUGUCUAUACAAAUUACAAUAUGUUUACACUGUUACAUCAAUAAAUCAGUCUUACACAAAAAUAGAAGAUGUGGAAUAAUUGCCAUUGAGAAAACUAUCCAAAAUUGUUUAAAUGCAGUGAAUAUAUGUAAUUGUAGUCAACCAUACAGCCUUCAACAUUGAGAAAAACCUAUAAUGUAUAGUUGGCAGUUAAAAAAAAAUGAUAUCACAUGUGCGAUUUCUAAUUAUACUAUUUUUGAUGACCUCUUUAAAGUUAUUAUAAACGUAAAUAGAACAUUAAUGGAAAGAAGUGCUCAUAAAUCUUACAUAGGGAUCACAAUUAUAUCUAAAUAAAUUAAAUUUAAAAAAAAUAUACAUCUCUGCUUCUUGGUCUACGUUAGAAAUACUUUUUCAGAUUUUUUUUUUUGUAGAUUUCUUUUGUUCAAUGCUAGUACCAAUUUGAACCUUUUCUAGAAAAUGAGACCUGCAAACACACUAAUAAGAUCCAUAUUGUUGCAAGUGACCAGCAUUCAUCUAAAUAAUGAAAAAAUGAAAGUCUUAUCAUAUUCAUUUGAGAUUUCUAGAUUAAAAUAAAAAUCCUACUGUUUUUAAAAACAUUUCUUGGGGUUGCAAACAACAGUAACCAGAUGCUCCGCAGGGUGCAGCUUUAUAAGACCCCAGAGGUCAAACUCUGAACGGUUGGGUACAGCUCUAAAUUUGGAUUGUGAUUAAAUAGUUGACACACCAUAGGUUUUUGACAAAGAAUGAGUGUGGUCUAAUGAACUUAAAAUUUUUAUUUUUGCUUUUGAGCAAUUCACUAUGCUGUUGAAUAUUAAUCCUCUCAAAAAAAAAGCAUUUGAAGAAAUUUUCUUUUACUUUUCUUAAAUCUGAAAUGAGAAAAAUUGACCCCCCCCCCCCCAAUUUUUUUUUCACCUCCCCUUCCCUUAUUCCAAAAUUGAUCUCAAUUCAAAUUUCUAAUGGAGUUUGCAACAAUAACUACUCAUUUAAAUACAUCAUCAAAUAUUAAAAUGUCAUACAGGCAUGGUUAAAAUUAAUAUUAAUCAAUAGUAACUUCUAAAAAAGUAAAUAGGGAAUGUGUCAAAAGGGACACAGAUGAUGCCCCCGCUAGCAUAAGCAUUUAAUGUUAUAAAGGAACAUAACUCAAGAACUGUUUUAAAAGUGAAGGUGCCAAAAAUUGAUCUUAAACUGAGUUUAGAGGUAAUAAGCAUUAUAUACACAUUUCAUUAAAUUUAGUUGAGACAAACUUAAGUUAAGAGAACAGAAACUAAAAAUUCUUCAAUUUUUCCAUUUGUAAAGGGGCAUGACCCUAGAAUGGAAAUCAAAGUGCUUGUAAUCACUGAAUGGUAAAGACUGCUUUAAUUUAUCAGUUGGUAGUAAAGUGAAUAUUGCAUUGUAUAUUGUAUAUAGCAUUGAUUUAAGUUGAUUCAACUACUAUUCUGGACAAAGAAAGAUAACUCCAAUUUUCAAAGAAGAUUUCAUAAAGCAUUGGUUUUAGGUGAUUCAACAACCAUUCUGGACAAAGAAAGAUAACUCCAAUUUAUUGUCUUAGAAACUACAAAAAUGCUUGUUUUUGGCCCCUUUUUGGCCCCUUUAUUGCCCUUUAUUCCUAGACUAUUUGCCCCAUAACCCACAAAAUAUAUCCCAACCUUCUACUUAUGGUAUUAAACAUUGUGGUACAAUUUCAGAACAAUUGAAAUACUUCUACACAACUUUUUGUACUGACACUAGAUAAAUGCUUGUUUGGUCCCCUUUGGGCUUCUUAUUCCUAAACCUUAGGGACCAUAGCCCCCAAAAUCGAUCCCAAGUUUCUUUUUGUGGUUAUAAACAUUGUGUUAAAAUUUUAUUGAUUUCUAUUGACUUUUACUAAAGUUAUUAUCCGGAAACCAUCAGUCUUCGAACGACGAUGACUACGACGACGACAAUGCUGACGACAACGUGAUACAAAUAUACGACCACAAAUUUUUUAUUUCGGUCAUAUAAAAAUGGAGUGUUAUCCUUAAAAAUGAUAUUGAAACAAACAAUAUGGUGAUUCAUAAUCACUAACAAUACACAUGUGUUUAAUGAAACAAAUUUCAAUAUCACUCUAUGAAAACUUUACUGGGAAUAAAAAUGCAAUAACUCAAAAUUUUAAAAAUCCUUUCAAUGCCAGUUUUGAGGUAAACAUAUUAUUUAUACAGUGGAGGAUAUCUAGAUCUAGGUCUGCAGCUGUAGAAAAUCACCAUUAUAUUAUAACAGUGACAGGUCUACAGCUGUAGGAAAUCACCAUUAUAUCAUAACAGUGACAGGUCUACAGCUGUAGGAAAUCACCAUUAUAUCAAAACAGUGACAGGUCUACAGCUGUAGGAAAUCACCAUUAUAUCAUAACAGUGACAGGUCUAAAGCUGUAGGAAAUCACCAUUAUAUCAAAACAGUGACAGGUCUGCAUAGUUGCUACCUUGUAGUCACCAGCACACAAACAAAUUGUUUUAUACAGAUUCCCAAACAACAUUUUCUUGCCUUCAAAUUUCCCAGCUUGUCAGCAAGAGGUACAAAUGAAGUACAUUCUCCAUUGCUUAGAUUAUAAUGCUACAAUUUUUGACUACAUGAUCAUCAUUUACUAUUUCUAUACUACAAUAUAUUAACAGUACUUUCACAUACAGAUUAUUUAAUUAUAUAUAGAUAUUAACAUUUGUAUACAAGGGAAAAGCAAAUGAAAUACAUCAAGUGCAUAGUGAGGGGUGGACAGGAGUCUUUAAUUUCCACUACCCUUCCCUCUACUCCCUAAAUCCCUUCCCCUACUUUCACUCUCAUCCCCCUUACUUCCAAACAAUAAUUGUUUUUUAAAAAAAAUCUGAAAACAUCCCUAUUUUUACUCCCUCUCCUCCCCUUGAUUCCUACUUCCCUCCCCUUGAUUCCCUGCUUCCUGCCCCUCAUUCCCAUGUUCCCUUAGUCCUGUCCACUCCCUCAAUAGUAUUUACAUAGUAGCUAGGCAGGAACAACACUGGUAAUAUUAUGGCACAAAAAGCUGCUGCCUUAUGACAGCAGAUAAAUAUUAUGUCCUUAUAAUCUCCAUGGUUUUACAAUAAUCACAUUUCCAUGUUCACUAAACAACAAAAUCUGAUCAUGUAAUUUGCCAUACAUUUAAAAAAACAACAACAAAAACCAAUAAAAAACAAUCAAUCAACAAUCCAAAAAAAUAUUAAAUGUUUAAUGAACAUAUGUACUAAGUUUCAAGUUACGGUGUCCAAACUCAUGGAAAACUAUCUUAAUUCAAACUUUAAAUAGAUAAACAUUAUCACAUUUCUCUGUUCAGUGAAUCCCAAAAUAUGGGUCAAAACAUUAAUAUUGAAUAUAUUUUAAAAAGUUCUCAUCUAAGGUUGAAGUUAAUAUAACU
RNAcentral lists this long non-coding RNA (4619 nucleotides) under Mytilus galloprovincialis (Mediterranean mussel). Lineage: Eukaryota; Metazoa; Mollusca; Bivalvia; Mytilida; Mytilidae. The record is from RNAcentral.